AUUUGUGUUACCUUCUAACAUAUUCAUAUUAUGUUAAAUGAACACAAAAAUUUAAGUAGACCAUUUGGGACAUGUGAAAUGU
Molecule: long non-coding RNA, 82 nt
Organism: Trachymyrmex septentrionalis
Lineage: Eukaryota; Metazoa; Arthropoda; Insecta; Hymenoptera; Formicidae
Exons: 3
Source: RefSeq, a predicted model, not a curated record